GCGGUAGUGGGCGAGUGGAGUGCGGAGCACGGGAAAGGGCGAUCGUCGUCGUUCUAGCUUUUAGGGUUUUGGUUCUGUUUUGUCAAAUGCGAUCAGUUACGCCAAUCACGCAAGAUUAACUAUAACUAUCUCUAUGCAAUCAUUCAUUCUAUUACCAAUUAAAGCAAGUAACUGCAACAUCGUUUUCUCAACUUGAUCUAGAUGGGAAUAGGAGGUGACAACUUCAUGCAAAUCGGAUUCAGAUGACAAGCUUCAGCUUCAAGCUUUUCUCGUAAGUGAUAAGCCCAUGCAGAGGCGUGGGCAAGGACGCAAAGUUGUGGAUUGUGAAAUAUGUAGUCGUUAUAGGUGAUAUGAUGGGUCACUUUAAUUGAGCUAAAUUAUUGCCUUGUAGUUGUAGAUAUUGCUUAGAAGGAAUUAAAUUUUUUUUUUCCUUUUUUGGCCUUUA
Ananas comosus (pineapple) is the source of this 445-nucleotide long non-coding RNA. RefSeq lists it as uncharacterized. The record is from RefSeq and is a predicted model, not a curated record. Lineage: Eukaryota; Viridiplantae; Streptophyta; Magnoliopsida; Poales; Bromeliaceae. The transcript has 3 exons.